Molecule: transfer RNA, 98 nt
Filed under: Actinoplanes nipponensis
Lineage: Bacteria; Bacillati; Actinomycetota; Actinomycetes; Micromonosporales; Micromonosporaceae
Description: tRNA-Pro
Source: RNAcentral
GCCAGCGCCUGGGCCAGCAGGUGGGGCAGGUCGGCGUUCGGGCCGCCGUCGGCGCCGCCGGAGUAGCGGACCAGGGCGUUCUUGCCGCGGCGUUUGCU